This 462-nucleotide ribosomal RNA is filed under the name uncultured bacterium. RNAcentral's name for it is "partial 16S ribosomal RNA". It matches the Rfam family "Bacterial small subunit ribosomal RNA", at positions 28 to 507 of the family's 1533-position model. The record is from RNAcentral.
GACGAACGCUGGCGGCGUGCUUAACACAUGCAGGUCGAGCGGAAAGGCCCUUCGGGGUACUCGAGCGGCGAACGGGUGAGUAACACGUGAGUAACCUGCCCCAGACUUUGGGAUAACCCUCGGAAACGGGGGCUAAUACCGGAUACGACACAGCUUCGCAUGGGGUCUGUGUGGAAAGUUUUUCGGUUUGGGAUGGGCUCGCGGCCUAUCAGCUUGUUGGUGGGGUGAUGGCCUACCAAGGCGACGACGGGUAGCCGGCCUGAGAGGGCGACCGGCCACACUGGGACUGAGACACGGCCCAGACUCCUACGGGAGGCAGCAGUGGGGAAUAUUGCACAAUGGGCGGAAGCCUGAUGCAGCGACGCCGCGUGAGGGAUGACGGCCUUCGGGUUGUAAACCUCUUUCAGCAGGGACGAAGCGUAAGUGACGGUACCUGCAGAAGAAGCGCCGGCCAACUACGUG